This 492-nucleotide ribosomal RNA is filed under the name uncultured bacterium. RNAcentral describes it as "partial 16S ribosomal RNA". It matches the Rfam family "Bacterial small subunit ribosomal RNA", at positions 29 to 507 of the family's 1533-position model. The record is from RNAcentral.
AGUGAUCGCUGGCGGUAGGCCUAACACAUGCAAGUCGAACGGCAGCACAGUAAGAGCUUGCUCUUACGGGUGGCGAGUGGCGGACGGGUGAGGAAUACAUCGGAAUCUACUUUUUCGUGGGGGAUAACGUAGGGAAACUUACGCUAAUACCGCAUACGACCUACGGGUGAAAGCAGGGGAUCUUCGGACCUUGCGCGAUUGAAUGAGCCGAUGUCGGAUUAGCUAGUUGGCGGGGUAAAGGCCCACCAAGGCGACGAUCCGUAGCUGGUCUGAGAGGAUGAUCAGCAACACUGGAACUGAGACACGGUCCAGACUCCUACGGGAGGCAGCAGUGGGGAAUAUUGGACAAUGGGCGCAAGCCUGAUCCAGCCAUACCGCGUGGGUGAAGAAGGCCUUCGGGUUGUAAAGCCCUUUUGUUGGGAAAGAAAAGCAGCAGGUUAAUACCCCGCUGUUCUGACGGUACCCAAAGAAUAAGCACCGGCUAACUUCGUG